Molecule: ribosomal RNA, 407 nt
Filed under: uncultured soil bacterium
Lineage: Bacteria
Description: bacterial SSU rRNA
Rfam family: Bacterial small subunit ribosomal RNA
Source: RNAcentral
CAGCCGCCGCGGUAAUACGUAGGGGGCAAGCGUUGUCCGGAUUUAUUGGGCGUAAAGAGCGUGUAGGCGGCCAUGCAGGUCCGUUGUGAAAACUCGAGGCUCAACCUCGAGACGCCGAUGGAAACCGCAUGGCUAGAGUCCGGAAGAGGAGAGUGGAAUUCCUGGUGUAGCGGUGAAAUGCGCAGAUAUCAGGAAGAACACCCGUGGCUAAGGCGGCUCUCUAGUACGGUACUGACGCUGAGACGCGAAAGCGUGGGGAGCGAACAGGAUUAGAUACCCUGGUAGUCCACGCCGUAAACGAUGGGUGCUAGGUGUGGGGGGUGUCGACUCCCUCCGUGCCGAAGCUAACGCAUUAAGCACCCCGCCUGGGGAGUACGGCCGCAAGGCUAAAACUCAAAGGAAUUGAC